This 67-nucleotide non-coding RNA is filed under the name unclassified sequences. The record is from Rfam.
UUUCAUACAGCAGGCGUAAAAGAACUGUAUAAACUACUUUAGGGACGCAACCCCGUAAAAAAGCGUA